GGAAAGGAUUUUCCUGGUGAACCGCAGACAAAAAAAUAUCUGCAGAGUUCCGUAAAUGGAGAGAGAUCACAUCUACUUUACCUCUUGCAUCAUUUAUUGAUGACCAAGCCACAUAGAAGGAACUUUGAGAUCACCUUUGUUGUUUUCCAGAGGAGAUGACAAGUGGGACAGGCUGUGCUCUGAGAAUGAUGGACUACUGGAGAGGCACAGAGCCAUGGAAGAUUUGCACCUGAAAUGGAUGUUCCAAGGCCAACCCUGUGGUCAAGCUGUGUGGUCCCAGAGAGGACACAGAGGUGGGAUAUUUUAUAACGCUGAAGUUGAUGGGACAUCAAAGCCAUCUGGACAGCUCUACAGAGGCAAGAGGUAGUACCCCACUCCAAAGAUGAAAAGACCUGGGAAAGUCCAAGCUCAAUGUCCUUCUAACAAUAGCAAUCUGCUAAAAAAAGACCCAGGCAAAGCAAACAGAGGAUGUCUCAACACUUCUGUGUCAGCCGAAACAGGAGAUAUUAAAGCUUUGUGUUCAACACAACUUCACAUGUCAAAUAGACUCUGCUGAGAUAACAACAAGGUCAUUUCAAUGAACUAGAAGAGUCAUUAAUAUCUUAGCACCAUGAUAUUUACCUAGCAAGUCGGAAGGCGAGCCUAAAGUAUGGAUUAUUUGGAACUACUUGAGCUGAAAUAGUGUCUUUUUUAUUACCUCCAUAACAGGACUUCUGCUUUGCACAGACGGCUUUGUCAGUCCCACUUUAACAGAGCUUUUCUUGCAGCUCUGCAGCAACCCAUCUGCCAGGGUUAUAAUUCUUUUGUCACAAAGGAAAUAAUGUUUCUUUCCCAGGCACAGCAAUGGAUAACUAUUUCUUAAAGCUAGCUCCUCAUUUUUAAUUACAAUAUAUUUCCGCACCUAACACCCUACAAAGGCUGCAAAAGUAAUGAAAGAUAAUGCAGUGAGUGUAAAUACACAUUAUUUAUUCAGUCUUAAGAAAAAACAAAAGUCCAAAAAGCAAACAAUGACUCUUUUAAAUAAAAAUAUAUCUUCUUCUGCAA
Columba livia (rock pigeon) is the source of this 1044-nucleotide long non-coding RNA. RefSeq lists it as uncharacterized. The transcript is spliced from 4 exons. The record is from RefSeq and is a predicted model, not a curated record. Lineage: Eukaryota; Metazoa; Chordata; Aves; Columbiformes; Columbidae.